This 253-nucleotide ribosomal RNA is filed under the name uncultured bacterium. RNAcentral's name for it is "partial 16S ribosomal RNA". It matches the Rfam family "Bacterial small subunit ribosomal RNA", at positions 524 to 776 of the family's 1533-position model. The record is from RNAcentral.
UACGUAGGGGGCAAGCGUUGUCCGGACUUACUGGGCGUAAAGCGCGCGCAGGCGGACCGGUAUGUGCCGUGUGAAAGCGCCGUCCUUACGAUGGCGAGGUCAUGGUAGACAGCUGGUCUGGAGGCUCGAAGAGGUCGGUGGAAUUCCGGGUGGAGCGGUGAAAUGCGUAGAUAUCCGGAGGAACACCGGUGGCGAAGGCGGCAUCCUGGACCGGUAUUGACGCUGAUGCGCGAAAGCCAGGGGAGCAAACGGG